Molecule: ribosomal RNA, 448 nt
Filed under: uncultured bacterium
Lineage: Bacteria
Description: partial 16S ribosomal RNA
Rfam family: Bacterial small subunit ribosomal RNA
Source: RNAcentral
AACGAACGCUAUCGGUAUGCUUAACACAUGCAAGUCGGACGGACUAAUUAGGGCUUGCUCCCAUUAGUUAGUGGCAGACGGGUGAGUAACACGUGGGAAUCUGCCCAUCAGUACGGAAUAACUUUUAGAAAUAAAAGCUAAUACCGUAUAUUCUCUACAGAGGAAAGAUUUAUCGCUGAUGGAUGAGCCCGCGUCAGAUUAGGUAGUUGGUGAGGUAACGGCUCACCAAGCCGACGAUCUGUAGCUGGUCUGAGAGGAUGAUCAGCCACACUGGGACUGAGACACGGCCCAGACUCCUACGGGAGGCAGCAGUGGGGAAUAUUGGACAAUGGGCGAAAGCCUGAUCCAGCAAUACCGAGUGAGUGAUAAAGGCCCUAGGGUUGUAAAGCUCUUUUAGCAAGGAAGAUAAUGACGUUACUUGCAGAAAAAGCCCCGGCUAACUCCGUGC